Molecule: transfer RNA, 22 nt
Filed under: Lepidium draba (heart-podded hoary cress)
Lineage: Eukaryota; Viridiplantae; Streptophyta; Magnoliopsida; Brassicales; Brassicaceae
Also listed under: 7 other names
Description: partial tRNA-Met
Source: RNAcentral
ACCUACUUAACUCAGUGGUUAG